AUACGGAGGGUGCAAGCGUUAUUCGGAAUCACUGGGCUUAAAGGACGCGUAGGCGGGUUGGCAAGUCAGAUGUGAAAUCCUACAGCUUAACUGUAGAACUGCAUUUGAAACUGCUAACCUAGAGUAUGGGAGGGGGAGAUGGAAUUAGUGGUGUAGGGGUAAAAUCCGUAGAUAUCUCUAGGAAUACCGAAAGCGAAGGCGAUCUCCUGGAACAUAACUGACGCUAAGGCGUGAAAGCGUGGGGAGCAAACAGGAUUAGAUACCCUAGUAGUCC
This 274-nucleotide ribosomal RNA is filed under the name uncultured bacterium. Its description in RNAcentral is "partial 16S ribosomal RNA". It matches the Rfam family "Bacterial small subunit ribosomal RNA", at positions 523 to 796 of the family's 1533-position model. The record is from RNAcentral.